RNAcentral lists this ribosomal RNA (403 nucleotides) under uncultured bacterium. RNAcentral's name for it is "bacterial SSU rRNA". It matches the Rfam family "Bacterial small subunit ribosomal RNA", at positions 355 to 775 of the family's 1533-position model. The record is from RNAcentral.
UGGGGAAUUUUGGACAAUGGGGGAAACCCUGAUCCAGCGAUGCCGCGUGACCGAUGAAGGCCAUAAGGUUGUAAAGGUCUUUUACUCGUGAAGAUAAUGACGGUAACGAGAGAAAAAGCACCGGCUAACUUCGUGCCAGCAGCCGCGGUAAUACGAAGGGUGCGAGUGUUGUUCGGAAUAACUGGGCGUAAAGGGUGCGUAGGCGGCCAAAUUAGUGAUAUGUGAAAUCCUCAAGCUCAACUUGAGAACUGCAUAUCAUACUUUUUGGCUUGAGUAUGAUAGAGGAAACGGGAAUUCCUAGUGUAGGGGUGAAAUUCACAGAUAUUAGGAGGAACACCAAAGGCGAAGGCAAGUUUCUGGGUCAUUACUGACGCUGAGGCACGAAAGCGUGGGGAGCAAACAG